RNAcentral lists this ribosomal RNA (495 nucleotides) under uncultured bacterium. RNAcentral describes it as "bacterial SSU rRNA". It matches the Rfam family "Bacterial small subunit ribosomal RNA", at positions 29 to 518 of the family's 1533-position model. The record is from RNAcentral.
AUUGAACGCUGGCGGCGUGCCUAACACAUGCAAGUCGAGCGGUAACAGGUGUAGCAAUACAUGCUGACGAGCGGCGGACGGGUGAGUAACGCUUGGGAAUCUGCCUGUUAGUGGGGGACAACCCGGGGAAACUCGGGCUAAUACCGCAUACGCACUACGGUGGAAAGCCGGGGACCGCAAGGCCUGGCGCUAACAGAUGAGCCCAAGUCGGAUUAGCUAGUUGGUAGGGUAACGGCCACCAAGGCGACGAUCCGUAACUGGUCUGGGAGGACGACCAGUCACACCGGAACUGAGACACGGUCCGGACUCCUACGGGAGGCAGCAGUGGGGAAUAUUGGACAAUGGGCGAAAGCCUGAUCCAGCGACGCCGCGUGGGUGAAGAAGGCCUGCGGGUUGUAAAGCCCUUUCGGUGGGGAAGAAAAGCCUCGAGUUAAUACCUCGGGUCUUGACGUAACCCAUAGAAGAAGCACCGGCUAACUCUGUGCCAGCCGCCGC